CCAAUAGCGUAUAUUAAAGUUGUUGCAGUUAAAAAGCUCGUAGUUGAAUUUCGGGGUUAGUAGGUUGGUCAUGCCUCUGGUAUGUACUGGUCUCACUGAUUCCUCCUUCCUUAUGAACCGUAAUGCCAUUAAUUUGGUGUUGCGGGAAAUUUGGACUGUUACUUUGAAAAAAUUAGAGUGUUUAAAGCAAGCUAACGCUUGAAUACAUUAGCAUGGAAUAAUGAAAUAGGACGUUCGAUCUUAUUUUGUUGGUUUCUAGGAUUGACGUAAUGAUUAAUAGGGAUAGUUGGGGGCAUUAGUAUUCAAUUGUCAGAGGUGAAAUUCUUGGAUUUAUUGAAGACUAACUACUGCGAAAGCAUUUGCCAAGGAUGUUUUCAUUAAUCAAGAACGAAAGUUAGGGGAUCGAAGACGAUCAGAUACCGUCGUAGUCUUAACCAUAAACUAUGCCGACUAGGGAUCGGAUGAUGUUAAUUUUUUAAUGACUCGUUCGGCGCCUUACG
RNAcentral lists this ribosomal RNA (500 nucleotides) under uncultured Glomeromycotina. RNAcentral's name for it is "partial small subunit ribosomal RNA". It matches the Rfam family "Eukaryotic small subunit ribosomal RNA", at positions 591 to 1092 of the family's 1831-position model. The record is from RNAcentral. Lineage: Eukaryota; Fungi; Glomeromycota.